UAAAGUACUCUAACCCAUACCCUGAUAGGCCAUGUUUGAUAUAUAUAGUAUACUUAGGCCCUAUUUGUUGGGCUUAAAAUGGACUAUAAUCCUAGCUGUUGUUUGGUGGGUCUAAAUGCACUGUGGGACUGGUUAGGCCUCAUAUCUCGAUAGGAUACCAAUCCAGCGAAUGAGGAUUUUGUAAACCCAAGUGGAACCAUGGGUUUCGAAGCCUCCGCCUCCGCCUCCGCCUCUGCCUUUCGUUGCUUAGAGCACCUCUUCUUUUCAUCGUCUUUCUUUUCUUCUUCUAUUCAUCUUUGUCUCUGAUGCUCCCACAGAUUUCAAGCAAUCUGACACUUCAAUCUCUCAUGCUCUCUCUCAUGCAAAUAGGAGCAAGAAAAAAAUAGGAAGGAAAGGAUGGGUCUGAAGAGAAGGGAAAAGUAGAUCUUGACAAUAAUUUUUUUUCUUCUCAUUUUCUGAGUUUCGCCUAAACUUGGAAUUGGGGGCCCUUGAUAAGGGUUGUCUAUCUCUGUUUUUUUUUCUUGCUUCUGUUUGUUUCUGGUCCUGAUAAGAAUCCCAGAUUUUCUCCACCUCUCUAUCUCCUUUUGGCUUCAAUUUUAUUUAUUUAUUUGCUGUUGUUAAUUUUGGUUAAUGGGUUGAUCGACGCCUUCGCCUGAGACUCCAGCAACACCGAUGAACGACGUCGUCGCCUCCGACUCCAUCAACACUGAUGAACGACAAGUUGACCUUCCUGAGAUCAUUGUCGCCACUCCAUUACAACCUCAAAUAUUAUCAUGGAAUCUGUGUAUACCGCUCCUUAAGGUCUUGGAAUAUCUUCCUCUUGGAAUAUCUGAUUUCUUAUUUUUAAUUUUGUUUACAUGUUUUUCUAUUAAAUUUAAUUAUUUCUGAUAUUAAAUAAUUUUAAUAAAUUUUGUUUGAAUUCCAAUGCAGUCCAGCCCAUACUUGUACCAAACAACGGACUGGACUUAGUCCAGUGCAGUCUAACCCAACUUAAUGUACCAAAUAACUUAUUAAAGUCCAACUCAAUUCAAGUCAAAUCAAUCCAACAUUUCAAGCCCAAUCCUAACCAGUUCAGUCAAACCCACCAAACAUGACCUUAACGUACCUAGUUAAUCUCCUCAAGCUUCUUCACUAUUGUGAAGACUGGCAUUUGUAGCUACUAGCUACUCAACCACACAAGAUAAUUCCCAACUUCUAGAUUCAACACCCUGGUUUAAUUAAGCUCUUCUUUUUUAUUUUAAAAAUUAAUGUUCAUUUGUAGAGAGGUUGUAGCUCUAGUGAUUAAGAACAUCUAUUUAUGCAUGCAUCGGAGGUACUAAAUU
Molecule: non-coding RNA, 1322 nt
Organism: Prunus avium (sweet cherry)
Lineage: Eukaryota; Viridiplantae; Streptophyta; Magnoliopsida; Rosales; Rosaceae
Source: RefSeq, a predicted model, not a curated record